RNAcentral lists this long non-coding RNA (425 nucleotides) under Rattus norvegicus (Norway rat). RNAcentral describes it as "long non-coding RNA NONRATT005705". Lineage: Eukaryota; Metazoa; Chordata; Mammalia; Rodentia; Muridae. The record is from RNAcentral.
UGCUCACCACCGGUCCUUCCAGCUCCUAACACACUUCAACACACAUUGAUACGAAACAGCCGCUACUCAGUUAAACAACGAAACUGAGGUAUCACCCAGGCACCUCUGUAAACUAGGACAUGGGUACAAAUUUUCAAGCUUGGAUUAAUGGCAGGAGGCGAGAGAGGCAACAGAGCAGUCGAAGCCAGGCAGCUCCUCACCUCUCACAGCAUGAGUCAAGAGCGGGCAUCUUGUGUUGAUGAAUCACACAGAGCAUGACAAGACCCAGCACGUGAACGACAGCCGCCAGCCACCGUGGGCUAGGUGAGGCAGGCCUGGUGUGCGGCUUCCUCUACUGGCUGACACUUGGCCAAACAAUUGGCUUUUUUCCCCUCCCUUCUAAACCACAUUGCACUCCUCUGAUUAAAGUGAAAGCAUAAAGGGUC